This is a long non-coding RNA of Mauremys mutica (yellowpond turtle), 977 nucleotides long. RefSeq lists it as uncharacterized. Lineage: Eukaryota; Metazoa; Chordata; Testudines; Geoemydidae. The transcript has 4 exons. The record is from RefSeq and is a predicted model, not a curated record.
CUGGGACAGUACAGAGCAGGAUAUGUGGAAGAUAACAUCUGAAACCUUUCUUAAUCCAAGCAAAAGCAAACACAACCAUCUCUACAGACUCACAGAAAAUUGUGAGACCUCUGCUACCCACAGUAGAUGACUUUCAACCUCACUGGGCUUAACCACUGGGCGAUUUUGACCUGGAGGUUGUUGAACAGUGCCCAGCCGGCUGAUUAAGUUCCAGAACUUCUAGCUGGAUGGUAAGAAGAUGAAUGAAGGAAACCUCUUGCCUGACAGUAUUUAAUACCAAAUUAUUAUUAUAUACUGUUUAACUGGUGCUGGAUGAAGGAUGUGCGGGGACUUGCAGCAACCUUACCAAAAAUAAAUUCUGACUACUGCUGCAUCAGUCAGACAUUGGCUUGGCUGGAAUCAAGGUACACUGAAUCAUACUUUAAUUAAUAUGUUCUUACGUCAGAAACAAGGAAGCUUAUGUGAUAGACCAAAAUUAGAUAAGAAGUUGGAACAAAUAUUUUCAAGGCUGGAAGGACAUCAAAUAUUAUGAGUCUGACUUUGACAGAGAGCAAGAGCAAUAGUCCAGAUAUCCCCUGUGUAUAAUAUUUUGCCAACAAAAAGACAAUUGAUGCUACUGAUCCCAAGAUUAUCCACCAGCAGCCUUGCUGAAAUCAAGAUAGUUAGAACAAAUAGAGACACAAGACAAAGCAGCUGCAACUUACCAACAACCACUUCCUUCUAUUCCAUGUGGUGUUUUACAUUCUCAAAUGUAGUUUCUCUGCUUGCAAUUGCAAAACACUAUAACUUUAAAUUAAAUUAGGUGUUUUGAAUAAACAUUUGAUUUAAUAAGACAGCUAUUAUACAUUAGCUCUCACUGGUUAUUAAAGCUUGUCCUCUAACUCAAAAUGACAUAAGCUAUAAAUAUAUAAUUGUUUCCUUAUUAACACAUUAAGUUUGACAGGAACUACAAGGCUUAAUAUUAACGUUUAACAAGA